Long non-coding RNA from Siniperca chuatsi (mandarin fish), 2492 nucleotides. RefSeq lists it as uncharacterized. The record is from RefSeq and is a predicted model, not a curated record. The transcript is spliced from 3 exons. Lineage: Eukaryota; Metazoa; Chordata; Actinopteri; Centrarchiformes; Sinipercidae.
UAAGUGGCUUGGCUGUUGUUUCCUGCAUUUGGCCACAUGGCUCUCAUCUGCUUUUCUGGUUAUUGGAUUUACUGCAUGUUUAUUUGGCCUUGGGAUUGUUUGCCUGCUCUUUACUGAUUUUGUUGCCUGUGUUUAUGGACUGCUAUUUCCUGGUUUUGCUCUCUGCCUGCUGGAUGUCCAUGACAAAGCCAAAAGCCUCCCCUGUGGGGGUGUGGGAGAGGAUGGAGGGAGAGAUGUGAGACAAAGAGACUGCAUAAGCUGUGAUUCUGUUUGGCUCCAAAUGACUCAGCAAGAUGCCAUACUUGCAACGAAGCGACAUGGAGAGAACAUACCUGGGAACAAGGAUUGGCGCUUUCAACCCAGUUUGAAAUCAUCAUGCUACAGAAAGAGAACUUUUUUUUAACUAGCUUGUGCCUGCAGAUGUAUGUAUAACCACUGUUCUCUUCUUAAGCUGCUGGAAAUUAAUGAACAAAAAAAAAUAAAUUUAACUGAUAGGAAUGACAAAUGAAUUCUUGAGCACUAACAUGACUGUUCCUGGCUUUUUGGUGCCCAAAGCAAAUAACAUUUUCCAUCCCAAUUUGUAAAAAAAAAAAAAAUAAACCCCACAACUGCCACUUGGCAGCUGAAUGCUGAAGACAAUGUUGAAGAACCUUAAGCUGCAGUUCCUCUUAUAGCCACUAGAUGCUGGAUCAAAGACAACUCCCAUUGUAAGUAAGUAGGGAAACUCCCAACUUCACAUAGAAAUGAAGCAGCAGGUUAGCAUAAUUUUUACCUACAGCAACUUGUAUUUUUGUUAUAGGUUAGAUAUUAUGUUGUGUCCCUAGACAGUCCUAAAUAUCUGAAUGGAGUAAUAAUAUAGAGAUGCCAAACCAGAAGCACCAAAGAAUUACUCAAGCAGUACUUUCAACCUUGAUGACAAGUGUCUAGGUGUACUCAUUUCGUUCCUGAGCGCACUCCUCAAAGAUUGUCAUGCUGCUUCAGAGAUGUAAUCUGUGAGGGGGGAAACAAGGUAACCUUUGUCUAAUUCUAUGGAUACUAGAACAGUUUUGCUUGUUAACCAUGUAUGUGCUCAUGCCUCUGCAUAAAUUAUGAUUUAUCACACAAACUCCCAACAGUUGUCAACCAUGUCACCAUGAUGAAUAUUGAUUGUCCACUUUAGGUACAGGUCAAGCAUGUCUUCAGGCAAUGCUUGACCUCAUUCAUGGUAAAACUAGCAAUUCACUCCGGGAUGAAAAGUUUCUUACAAAAUCAUUCAUUUAAAAAGGAAAGACAUCUAUCACGGUGGAAUAUACUUAUUUUUUAUUUUAGAUCGACCCCUUGCAGUUCCUACUUAAUUUCAGCAAUGCUCUGGAUUAUUUCAACUUGUUUCUUUAGUAAUUAUUCACUGAGGACCAGCAGCAGACACAGCAGUUUUCUGAGUCAGUGUGGCUUGUGGAGCAGUGCCUAGCAAAUUUGGUUUAACACAUUCAGUUUUAACCAUUUUUACAUUGCUGACGAAGUCUGUAGUUUCUACACCAUUAUUACGGUAAAACUUGUGUUAUGUACUAUAUAUGUUGGUGGCCCCUGCCUCCUCUGACGGAGUUGUGCUCUCAGUCGCUAUCAGGCAAUACCGCUUUCUGAGACGUCUCACCAAUAAUUGCUGCUAUUUUGUCAUCUAUGGAUGACACUGAAGUCAUCCAUAGAUGUCAGUACCCCCCUCCUGUGGCACUGACAUAUCUUUUAUGUUCAGCAAUCCUGUUUUUUGCAAUCACUUUCAGGUCAAUCCAUUUUUUUCUUCACCUGUGCCAGACUUCUUGGGCUGUUAUUUUUCUUCUUCUUUUUUUUCUUGGACAAGCCACUUGUGAAAGUGCCAGAUAAAACGUUUUGCUUUAGAGGACCCUCAUUUAGCAGUAGCUCAACCUCAUUGUCAGUGAAGUUUGUCCUCUAUGUGGGUCUUAUUUGCUCUCUUUUUCCAGAACAACUAGAUCUACAUUUAGCGUACUAGAGUUUUAAGGGGAUACCUUUUACCAUAUAUUACAAUUUGGGUGGGAGUGUUUUACUAUAUAAUUUUUUUUGUGCAUUAGCAGAUGGAUGUGGGAUUUAUCACUAUUUAUAGCAUAUAGAUGUACUUUUGAUUGAAGGGGUACACCAGCGAUAUAGCAUUGCACUUCCAUAAAGUUGGAGAAAUAAAAAAAAAAAAAUAAGGUCACAAUCGAAGCAACAGCAUCUUUUAUUGGACCCUCACUGCUCAUGUUAUUCAAACUACACGCCCCCAGUUUGUUCACAGGCUAAACAUUUGUAGGCUCCAAGCCCAAGAUGAGUUAACCCUGAUGACAUCAUAAUAGCCACGUUUACAGAUGGGUGGGUUUAACCUUAAACCGAUCAAAAGAAGAAUUGUACUAAGUAAACGAUUAACCCGAUUACUGUCUGGCUGCAUUUUUUCUGGGCAUUCCCUCCGUCGUGAUGUAAAUGCAUGUAGACAUACACUUCUCCAUCCACUUCCAAAAAAAGUA